This 415-nucleotide ribosomal RNA is filed under the name uncultured bacterium. Its description in RNAcentral is "bacterial SSU rRNA". It matches the Rfam family "Bacterial small subunit ribosomal RNA", at positions 355 to 787 of the family's 1533-position model. The record is from RNAcentral.
UCGGGAAUAUUGCGCAAUGGAGGAAACUCUGACGCAGUGACGCCGCGUAUGGGAAGAAGGUUUUCGGAUUGUAAACCAUUUUAGACAAGGAAGAAAAAAGACAGUACUUGUAGAAUAAGCUCCGGCUAACUACGUGCCAGCAGCCGCGGUAAUACGUAGGGAGCAAGCGUUAUCCGGAUUUAUUGGGUGUAAAGGGUGCGUAGACGGGAAGGUAAGUUAGUUGUGAAAUCCCUCGGCUCAACUGAGGAACUGCGACUAAACUGCUUUUACUUGAGUACUGGAGAGGAAAGUGGAAUUCCUAGUGUAGCGGUGAAAUGCGUAGAUAUUAGGAGGAACACCAGUGGCGAAGGCGGCUUACUGGACUGACAAUGACGCUGAGGCUCGAAAGCGUGGGGAGCAAACAGGAUUGAUACCC